Molecule: ribosomal RNA, 959 nt
Filed under: Fusarium sp. FRC S1936
Lineage: Eukaryota; Fungi; Ascomycota; Sordariomycetes; Hypocreales; Nectriaceae
Description: eukaryotic LSU rRNA
Rfam family: Eukaryotic large subunit ribosomal RNA (bases 450-959)
Source: RNAcentral
CCGAGUUAUUCAACUCAUCAACCCUGUGAACAUACCUAAACGUUGCUUCGGCGGGAAUAGACGGCCCCGUAAAACGGGCCGCCCCCGCCAGAGGACCCUUAACUCUGUUUCUAUAAUGUUUCUUCUGAGUAAAACAAGCAAAUAAAUCAAAACUUUCAACAACGGAUCUCUUGGCUCUGGCAUCGAUGAAGAACGCAGCGAAAUGCGAUAAGUAAUGUGAAUUGCAGAAUUCAGUGAAUCAUCGAAUCUUUGAACGCACAUUGCGCCCGCCAGUAUUCUGGCGGGCAUGCCUGUUCGAGCGUCAUUACAACCCUCAGGCCCCCGGGCCUGGCGUUGGGGAUCGGCGGAGCCCCCCGUGGGCACACGCCGUCCCCCAAAUACAGUGGCGGUCCCGCCGCAGCUUCCAUCGCGUAGUAGCUAACACCUCGCGACUGGAGAGCGGCGCGGCCACGCCGUAAAACACCCAACUCUUCUGAACAACAGGGAUUGCCCCAGUAACGGCGAGUGAAGCGGCAACAGCUCAAAUUUGAAAUCUGGCUCUCGGGCCCGAGUUGUAAUUUGUAGAGGAUGCUUUUGGUGAGGUGCCUUCCGAGUUCCCUGGAACGGGACGCCAUAGAGGGUGAGAGCCCCGUCUGGUUGGACGCCGAACCUCUGUAAAGCUCCUUCGACGAGUCGAGUAGUUUGGGAAUGCUGCUCUAAAUGGGAGGUAUAUGUCUUCUAAAGCUAAAUACCGGCCAGAGACCGAUAGCGCACAAGUAGAGUGAUCGAAAGAUGAAAAGAACUUUGAAAAGAGAGUUAAACAGUACGUGAAAUUGUUGAAAGGGAAGCGCUUGUGACCAGACUUGGGCUUGGUUGAUCAUCCGGGGUUCUCCCCGGUGCACUCUUCCGGCUCAGGCCAGCAUCAGUUCGCCCUGGGGGAUAAAGGCAUCGGGAACGUGGCUCUCUCCGGGGAGUGUUAU